RNAcentral lists this ribosomal RNA (706 nucleotides) under uncultured Staphylococcus sp. Its description in RNAcentral is "bacterial SSU rRNA". It matches the Rfam family "Bacterial small subunit ribosomal RNA", at positions 67 to 759 of the family's 1533-position model. Lineage: Bacteria; Bacillati; Bacillota; Bacilli; Caryophanales; Staphylococcaceae. The record is from RNAcentral.
CGGACGAGAAGCUUGCUUCUCUGAUGUUAGCGGCGGACGGGUGAGUAACACGUGGAUAACCUACCUAUAAGACUGGGAUAACUUCGGGAAACCGGAGCUAAUACCGGAUAAUAUUUUGAACCGCAUGGUUCAAAAGUGAAAGACGGUCUUGCUGUCACUUAUAGAUGGAUCCGCGCUGCAUUAGCUAGUUGGUAAGGUAACGGCUUACCAAGGCAACGAUGCAUAGCCGACCUGAGAGGGUGAUCGGCCACACUGGAACUGAGACACGGUCCAGACUCCUACGGGAGGCAGCAGUAGGGAAUCUUCCGCAAUGGGCGAAAGCCUGACGGAGCAACGCCGCGUGAGUGAUGAAGGUCUUCGGAUCGUAAAACUCUGUUAUUAGGGAAGAACAUAUGUGUAAGUAACUGUGCACAUCUUGACGGUACCUAAUCAGAAAGCCACGGCUAACUACGUGCCAGCAGCCGCGGUAAUACGUAGGUGGCAAGCGUUAUCCGGAAUUAUUGGGCGUAAAGCGCGCGUAGGCGGUUUUUUAAGUCCGAUGUGAAAGCCCACGGCUCAACCGUGGAGGGUCAUUGGAAACUGGAAAACUUGAGUGCAGAAGAGGAAAGUGGAAUUCCAUGUGUAGCGGUGAAAUGCGCAGAGAUAUGGAGGAACACCAGUGGCGAAGGCGACUUUCUGGUCUGUAACUGACGCUGAUGUGCGAAGG